This 353-nucleotide ribosomal RNA is filed under the name uncultured bacterium. Its description in RNAcentral is "bacterial SSU rRNA". It matches the Rfam family "Bacterial small subunit ribosomal RNA", at positions 917 to 1267 of the family's 1533-position model. The record is from RNAcentral.
GGACCCGCACAAGUAGUGGAGCAUGUGGUUUAAUUCGAAGAUACGCGCAGAACCUUACCAACACUUGACAUGUUCGUCGCGACUCUGAGAGAUCAGAGUUUUCGGUUCGGCCGGACGAAACACAGGUGCUGCAUGGCUGUCGUCAGCUCGUGUCGUGAGAUGUUGGGUUAAGUCCCGCAACGAGCGCAACCCUCACUUUUAGUUGCCAUCAUUAAGUUGGGCACUCUGAAAGAACUGCCAGUGAUAAGCUGGAGGAAGGUGGGGAUGACGUCAAGUCCUCAUGGCCCCUUACGUGUUGGGCUACACACGUGCUACAAUGAUAUCUACACAGGAAGCAAAACGGCGACGUUAAG